UACGGAGGGUGCAAGCGUUAUCCGGAUUCACUGGGUUUAAAGGGUGCGUAGGCGGGCAUGUAAGUCAGUGGUGAAAUCUCCGGGCUUAACCCGGAAAUUGCCGUUGAUACUAUGUGUCUUGAAUAUCGUUGAGGUUUGCGGAAUAUGUCAUGUAGCGGUGAAAUGCUUAGAUAUGACGUAGAACACCAAUUGCGAAGGCAGCAGGCUACACGAACAUUGACGCUGAGGCACGAAAGCGUGGGGAUCAAACAGG
Molecule: ribosomal RNA, 253 nt
Filed under: uncultured bacterium
Lineage: Bacteria
Description: partial 16S ribosomal RNA
Rfam family: Bacterial small subunit ribosomal RNA
Source: RNAcentral